CCUUCUGGUCGGGGACAACCACUGGAAACGGUGGCUAAUACCGGAUAUGCCUUCGGGUAAAAGAUUUAUUGCCAGAAGAAGAGCUCGCGUCUGAUUAGCUAGUUGGUAGGGUAAAAGCCUACCAAGGCAUCGAUCAGUAGCUGGUCUGAGAGGACGAUCAGCCACACUGGGACUGAGACACGGCCCAGACUCCUACGGGAGGCAGCAGUGGGGAAUUUUCCGCAAUGGGCGAAAGCCUGACGGAGCAAUACCGCGUGAGGGAGGAAGGCUCUUGGGUCGUAAACCUCUUUUCUCAGGGAAGAAGAAAGUGACGGUACCUGAGGAAUCAGCCUCGGCUAACUCCGUGCCAGCAGCCGCGGUAAUACGGAGGAGGCGAGCGUUAUCCGGAAUUAUUGGGCGUAAAGCGUCCGUAGGUGGCUCUUCAAGUCUGCUGUCAAAGAGUGGGGCUUAACUCCAGAAAGGCAGUGGAAACUGAAAGGCUAGAGAGCCGUAGGGGUAGAGGGAAUUCCCGGUGUAGCGGUGAAAUGCGUAGAGAUCGGGAAGAACAUCGGUGGCGAAAGCGCUCUACUGGACGGUAUCUGACACUGAGGGACGAAAGCUAGGGGAGCGAAUGGGAUUAGAUACCCCAGUAGUCCUAGCCGUA
RNAcentral lists this ribosomal RNA (643 nucleotides) under uncultured cyanobacterium. Its description in RNAcentral is "bacterial SSU rRNA". It matches the Rfam family "Bacterial small subunit ribosomal RNA", at positions 129 to 804 of the family's 1533-position model. Lineage: Bacteria; Bacillati; Cyanobacteriota. The record is from RNAcentral.